CAAUCUACAUUGUGUCUACAAGCGUUACAGAAAUAAAGAUAAAUUCAAUUAAUAUUCAUUGUUAAAAAUGGGAAGAUUUAUUUGCAAAUUUAUCAUGCUAUUAGCAGUGUUGGUGAAUGUUAAUUAAAAAACUAACCAGUUGUGUUACCUUGUUAGUUUAUAUGUAAAGUUAUGCGCUACAUUACUUUUGUCUCACCUUUUGUCUUUUUCUUGCCUGGCUGAGGCUUGAUUUGUUUCAGAAAUUUCUUGUCUUCUUUUUUUUUUAAUAAUUUUUUUCACAGGUUUAUAAUUUUUUUAUUGAAAUAGGAUAGUGGAGAACAUACAGAAAAGCAUUGGGAGCAAAAAAAAAAAAGGAAGGAUCCGCAUAGGACCUGAAGCUGGGAAUUGAACUCAGGUUGCUGUGAGGACCAUGAUGUUAUAUAACUUAGCCACUAGACUAUUGCCGUGUUUUUUAGGUAAGGGAGUUAUGCAAUCACAAUGUCCUGUAUAACCUAAACCUUCAUUUUUCUUUAAAAAACAGAUUAAAAUUUAUAAUUUAGGAUAAUGUUAUCUUCUGAAAACUUACAAACUUCAGAGCUAUACAUGUCUUAUAUACAGAUUAUUGAACGUUAAAAGCAAUUUGUUUGUGACAUUUGUACUUUUGGUCAUAUACGUUAGGUAAAAUCACUGUCCAUUGAGACGAUCCCCUUUUCUUCUAUGCAUUAAAAAUAAUGAGAAUUCUUCCAUCACAAAAAUGUAAAGCUCUGGUAUGCUAUCUUCAUUUCUCACCGGGAGCGCAUUUAAAAUUCAACAUGACUACAUUAUUUUUAAUUCAGCAAUUUAUUUUUUAAAGCUAAAUAAUUAAACUAAAAAGUAACUCGCAUUACAUUUUUUUAAAAAAGUAGCUCAAAUAUUAUUUCUGAAUAUAUUAAGUAAUAUUACUGAAUUAAUAUGUUAUUAUGGAACUCGCAUUACUUGUUAUGCGUUACCUCCAACACUGGCUAUUAGAGUAGCGUAACUUCAUAUUGUGGAAAACACUGAUCACACUGCUCUGAUCCUGAUCUCUUUUUUAGUCUCAUCCACAGUUCAGUGGGUUGCUUAACCAUAACUUUGUCACCAAGGAUUUUCUGGAGAUUUUCAAUCAGGUUUAUUUCAGGACUCUAGGCUGCCAUUUCAUUUUUACAAUGUUUUUAGCUUCAAGGAAAAGUUUUACCCAUUUUGUUAUGGUAAGGGGCUCAUAUUAAAAUUGCUAGAUUAUUGGGCACAGAUUGAUUGAAAGUAACCACGUUGCGGAAAGAGCUUCUGAUUUACAUUAGCAUACAUUCUGCCAUGUAACUAAAAGAAGCCAGACUCCUGCUGCAGAAAACAUCCCUCAUACCAUCACAUUUCACCUUCACCUUUCUCUUACUUCACACACUUUGGGUUCAGUCUUUCUUUAGUUUCACAAUGAAGAUAUUGUCUCCAAUCAGACUCUCAAUUACAUUAAACUUGCCUUUUAUAUAUGUGAACACAACAUGCUCCUUAGCAAAGGUAGUUUCAUCCUUUCUGCUGAUUAAGGUUUGGUCGCUGCAGAGCUUUCAGUUCCAUUUUCUCUUAAACAUCCAGACUCUGUAUGCUGAUAUACAAAUACUUUCACUCUGUUUAGCUCUGAACAGUUCCAGCUGUGUUACAAUAUAUGUAACUCUCAUGAAAUGUGCUAAACUACUCUUUUACUCUGAUUAGGAUACCUCCAUACUUGAAAGAACAUAUCCAGAAAAAGAAAAGAGUCAUCUAGUGACAGUUCACAUCCAAUCUGACAGAGCUGAAGCAUCUACAGAGAAGAAUGGCAGAAAAACAAAAUGCAGAUGUGCAAAGAUUACCACAUCAAAUCCAGCAGACCUGAGACUGCUAAAGCCAGAGAAAUGUGUGACCUGCAGUGAUUUGAACAGGUGUUGGCGAUGCCACUUCUCUUCUGUGCUGCAUCUCUCCUUUAAAUCCAUUAAGAUCAUCAAAACAUGACAGGGGGAUCAUCAGUCUGUCUGCAGGACGAGCUGCGUCCUGCCCAGCAAACCAGCUCACACUCACACACUCUCUAAACAGGCUUGGAGCGACUGAAGCUGCUGUCCGGUUUGAAGAUGCUCAUUAGGACACAACAGGAAGCAGUUGGUCAGUUAGUAGAGCACAUGCAGGUUACCAGCAACAGGUGGACAGCAGCACACAGGCACAUAUGAAGGGAAGGCAGGCAGGCAGACAGACAGACAGACAGACGUACCAGGCGGGCAGGCAGACAGCGGGCAGACAGCAGGGACUUAAAUUUAUUCGUCAAACCAACAAUCUCACCCCAACACCCACCGAAGUCCCCAAACACACACUCUGUUGUGAAAAUCACACAAGCAUCUUGCGAGAGAUGUAAAAUAAUACAGACAGCCACAGUGAGCGAGCGAGGGAGAUUAAGGGGAAGUGACAGAGCUGGCGCAGGAUGUUUGACUGUUUGCUCUUGCUUUAACAACAUCCUCUGCGCAGACACCCGAUGAGGACAGAGAUACAGGACUGAACCAUUGUUCUGCUUAUCUUCGUCCGGGCUCAUAUCUGCUGGCCCAGGGGCUAUUGAGGAGCGGAUGACCACUGAUAGAGACACAAACACACAAACUGCAGGGAAGGACUGGCUCUAAUUAGUGGAUCAACAUAUUGGUGAUGAUGAUGCUUAAUUAUCCUUGCUCAUGUUGGAUUUGGAGGUAAAUCUGUGUUGGCAGACACUGAGGAGAUCUAAUUUAAGUCAUAAAUGUACUCAUUUUCAUAUAGAUUUGGAGGGUUUAAUCUGCUGUUUGAGAAGAGAAUAUUUUGCUCAGAAAAAAAUGUUAGGUUUAACUGUAUGAUUAAAAAAAUGUCAUGAAACGAAGCCUUUUUAUAUUAUAUAAAUUGAUUGUCAUGAUUAUUUUAACUAUAAUAAAAUAAUUUCAGUGCUGUGAAA
Non-coding RNA from Danio rerio (zebrafish), 2929 nucleotides. The record is from RefSeq and is a predicted model, not a curated record. Lineage: Eukaryota; Metazoa; Chordata; Actinopteri; Cypriniformes; Danionidae.